UACGAAGGGGGCUAGCGUUGCUCGGAAUCACUGGGCGUAAAGCGCACGUAGGCGGCUUCUUAAGUCAGGGGUGAAAUCCUGGAGCUCAACUCUGGAACUGCCUUCGAAACUAGAGGACUUGGGUACGGGAGAGGUGAGUGGAAUUCCGAGUGUAGAGGUGAAAUUCGUAGAUAUUCGGAAGAACACCAGUGGCGAAGGCGGCUCACUGGCCCGUUACCGACGCUCAGGCGCGACAGCGUGGGGAGCAAACAGG
RNAcentral lists this ribosomal RNA (253 nucleotides) under uncultured bacterium. Its description in RNAcentral is "partial 16S ribosomal RNA". It matches the Rfam family "Bacterial small subunit ribosomal RNA", at positions 524 to 776 of the family's 1533-position model. The record is from RNAcentral.